RNAcentral lists this non-coding RNA (88 nucleotides) under Candidatus Paenalcaligenes intestinipullorum. RNAcentral's name for it is "TPP riboswitch (THI element)". It matches the Rfam family "TPP riboswitch aptamer (THI element)", at positions 6 to 94 of the family's 105-position model. From Rfam's summary of the family: Vitamin B(1) in its active form thiamin pyrophosphate (TPP) is an essential coenzyme that is synthesised by coupling of pyrimidine and thiazole moieties in bacteria. Lineage: Bacteria; Pseudomonadati; Pseudomonadota; Betaproteobacteria; Burkholderiales; Alcaligenaceae. The record is from RNAcentral.
GUUCCUAGGGGUGCUUAUGCAGCUGAGAAACGCUUUUUCGCGUGACCCUUUGAACCUGAACCAGGUAAUGCUGGCGCAGGGAAGGAAA